RNAcentral lists this transfer RNA (61 nucleotides) under unidentified. Its description in RNAcentral is "Bochrus foveatus tRNA-Cys". The record is from RNAcentral.
AACUCUAUAGUCAAUAAAUGAUAUUAGAUUGCAAGUCUGAAGUAGUAUAAUACUAGGGUUU